RNAcentral lists this ribosomal RNA (1025 nucleotides) under Arecophila bambusae. Its description in RNAcentral is "SSU rRNA". It matches the Rfam family "Eukaryotic small subunit ribosomal RNA", at positions 73 to 1111 of the family's 1831-position model. The record is from RNAcentral. Lineage: Eukaryota; Fungi; Ascomycota; Sordariomycetes; Xylariales; Cainiaceae.
AUUAUACGGCGAAACUGCGAAUGGCUCAUUAAAUCAGUUAUCGUUUAUUUGAUAGUACCUUACUACUUGGAUAACCGUGGUAAUUCUAGAGCUAAUACAUGCUAAAAAUCCCGACUCACGGAGGGAUGUAUUUAUUAGAUUAAAAACCAAUGCCCUUCGGGGCUUACUGGUGAUUCAUGAUAACUUCUCGAAUCGCAUGGCCUUGCGCCGGCGAUGGUUCAUUCAAAUUUCUGCCCUAUCAACUUUCGAUGGCAGGGUCUUGGCCUGCCAUGGUUACAACGGGUAACGGAGGGUUAGGGCUCGACCCCGGAGAAGGAGCCUGAGAAACGGCUACUACAUCCAAGGAAGGCAGCAGGCGCGCAAAUUACCCAAUCCCGAUACGGGGAGGUAGUGACAAUAAAUACUGAUACAGGGCUCUUUUGGGUCUUGUAAUUGGAAUGAGUACAAUUUAAAUCCCUUAACGAGGAACAAUUGAGGGCAAUCUGGUGCCAGCAGCGCGGUAAAUUCAGCUCCAAUAGCGUAUAUUAAAGUUGUUGCAGUUAAAAAGCUCGUAGUUGAACCUUGGGCCUGGCUGGCCGGUCCGCCUCACCGCGUGCACUGGUUCGGCCGGGCCUUUCCCUCUGGGGAACCCUAUGUCAUUCACUUGGUGUAGUGGGGAACCAGGACUUUUACUGUGAAAAAAUUAGAGUGUUCAAAGCAGGCCUAUGCUCGAAUAGUACAGCAUGGAAUAAUAGAAUAGGACGCGCGGUUCUAUUUUGUUGGUUUCUAGGACCGCCGUAAUGAUUAAUAGGGACAGUCGGGGGCAUCAGUAUUCAAUUGUCAGAGGUGAAAUUCUUGGAUUUAUUGAAGACUAACUACUGCGAAAGCAUUUGCCAAGGAUGUUUUCAUUAAUCAGGAACGAAAGUUAGGGGAUCGAAGACGAUCAGAUACCGUCGUAGUCUUAACCAUAAACUAUGCCGACUAGGGAUCGGACGAUGUUAUUUUUUGACUCGUUCGGCACCUUACGAGAAAUCAAAGUCUUUGGG